UACAGAGGGUGCGAGCGUUGUUCGGAAUUACUGGGCGUAAAGCGCGCGUAGGUGGUGUGUUAAGUCUGCCGGUCAAAUGCCGAGGCUCAACCUCGUUGCACGCCGGGGAUACUGGCACGCUAGAGACAAGUAGAGGCAAGCGGAAUUCCGGGUGUAGCGGUGGAAUGCGUAGAGAUCCGGAAGAACACCGGAGGCGAAGGCGGCUUGCUGGGCUUGGUCUGACGCUGAGGCGCGAAGCGUGGGGAGCGAACAGG
RNAcentral lists this ribosomal RNA (254 nucleotides) under uncultured bacterium. Its description in RNAcentral is "partial 16S ribosomal RNA". It matches the Rfam family "Bacterial small subunit ribosomal RNA", at positions 524 to 776 of the family's 1533-position model. The record is from RNAcentral.